AUACGGAGGUGGUUAGCGUUGUUCGGAAUUACUGGGCGUAAAGCGCACGUAGGCGGAUUAGUAAGUUAGAGGUGAAAUCCCAGGGCUCAACCCUGGAACUGCCUUUAAUACUGCUAGUCUUGAGUUCGAGAGAGGUAAGUGGAAUUCCUAGUGUAGAGGUAAAAUUCGUAGAUAUUAGGAGGAACACCAGUGGCGAAGGCGGCUUACUGGCUCGAUACUGACGCUGAGGUGCGAAAGCGUGGGGAGCAAACAGGAUUAGAAACCCUUGUAGUCC
This 274-nucleotide ribosomal RNA is filed under the name uncultured bacterium. Its description in RNAcentral is "partial 16S ribosomal RNA". It matches the Rfam family "Bacterial small subunit ribosomal RNA", at positions 523 to 796 of the family's 1533-position model. The record is from RNAcentral.